Long non-coding RNA from Glycine soja, 385 nucleotides. RefSeq lists it as uncharacterized. Lineage: Eukaryota; Viridiplantae; Streptophyta; Magnoliopsida; Fabales; Fabaceae. The record is from RefSeq and is a predicted model, not a curated record. The transcript has 2 exons.
AACCGCAUGAAGACAGUACAAGCGGAGGCUUCAAUCUCUUCUCCGUCUCUCUGACGUUCGAGAAUUCUAUCGGAGCAGUCGGAGGAAAAACUUGAGGAAUCUCAGGAAACCGCUAUAGAUGUCUCUAUCGUUGUCGGAAGACACGUGAGUCCACUUAGAGACGACUAGGUGAAUUGAUUUAAGGAACCUUUUGCUGAAGGACGUCGAGACACAACGCUCUGAUAGGAUGUGACAUUGGGGUAUAGGGUUUUAUAUUAAUUGUAUGAAGUCUUAAACGGUCUUGCUUAAACCGAGAUAACUUUAUUAGAAAUUUGGACAAGUUUGAAUAUGAUGUAGAAGAAAGUGAAUGUGAGCCUUUUAUCCCUUUGAAAAACUUGUAUUUACA